UACGGAGGAGGCAAGCGUUAUCCGGAAUUAUUGGGCGUAAAGCGUCCGCAGGUGGCGAUUCAAGUCUGCGGUCAAAGACUGGGGCUUAACCCUGGAAAGGCCGUGGAAACUGAAUAGCUAGAGUGCAGUAGGGGUAGAGGGAAUUCCCGGUGUAGCGGUGAAAUUCGUAGAUAUUCGCAAGAACACCAGUGGCGAAGGCGGCUCACUGGCCCGGUACUGACGCUGAGGCACGAAAGCGUGGGGAGCAAACAGG
This 253-nucleotide ribosomal RNA is filed under the name uncultured bacterium. RNAcentral's name for it is "partial 16S ribosomal RNA". It matches the Rfam family "Bacterial small subunit ribosomal RNA", at positions 524 to 776 of the family's 1533-position model. The record is from RNAcentral.